UCCUGCCUCCCGCAGGGCCCACCUGUGUCCCCCAGUGCCGCUCCACCCAGCAGGCCUGAGCCCCUCUCUGCUCCCAGACACCCCCUGCUGCCCACUCUCCUGCUACUCGGGUUGUCACACCGAGGCGGAUUCUCUUUCUCUUUCUCUUUCUCUUCUGGCCGACAGCCGCAGCAAUGGCGCUGAGUUCCUCUGCUGGAGUUCGUCCUGCUAACUGGGUUCCUGAGCUGCCGGUCUGACCCUGAGGCAUGGAGCCUCCUGGAGACUGGGGGCCUCCUCCCUGGAGAUCCGCCCCCAAAACCGACGUCUUGAGGCUGGUGCUGUAUCUCACCUUCCUGGGAGCCCCCUGCUACGCCCCAGCUCUGCCCUCCUGCAAAGAGGACGAGUACCCAGUGGGCUCUGAGUGCUGCCCCAAAUGCAGUCCAGGUUACCGUGUGAAGCAGGCCUGUGGGGAGCUGACGGGCACAGUGUGUGAACCCUGCCCUCCGGGGACCUACAUUGCCCACCUCAAUGGCCUGAGCAAGUGUCUGCAGUGCCAAAUGUGUGACCCAGGUAAGAGGCCGGCACAGCCAGCUCAGCCUCCGCCCGGGCAGCCUGGAUGCCCCCACACCCUGCACCCUCUUUCCAUGGCCAUAGUGCCCCAGGAAGGCCCCGGCUGCCCCAGGCCAGGUCCCCACCCCAUCUCCAUGGGUGCACCCUGCAGGGGACGUCAGCCUCCGGCCCCCGUCCACCUCUGUCUCACCUCUCACUUUGUCACGUGGGCCUUCCUGAGCUUGGCGACUGACCAUUAGCCCUCGUCCUUGGCUCCUCUGGUGCCCUGGGUGGGUGCCCAGACCUCUCCUGUGCCCACAUCCCUAGCUGCAAAGUGGAGUAGGAUGGUGCUGGGACUCUCCGGCCGGCACUGGGGCCUGCUGCUUCCCCACAGGGCUUCU
This 929-nucleotide small RNA is filed under the name Pongo abelii (Sumatran orangutan). Its description in RNAcentral is "retained intron". Lineage: Eukaryota; Metazoa; Chordata; Mammalia; Primates; Hominidae. The record is from RNAcentral.